Athalia rosae (coleseed sawfly) is the source of this 2606-nucleotide long non-coding RNA. RefSeq lists it as uncharacterized. Lineage: Eukaryota; Metazoa; Arthropoda; Insecta; Hymenoptera; Athaliidae. The record is from RefSeq and is a predicted model, not a curated record. The transcript has 3 exons.
AUCGGCUAAAUAUUCUGAUCGUUAUUAAUUAAUUAUUGAUAUUUGAUGAACUUCCUCGUUAGUGUAAAACCAUCAAACGGGUCACCCAUUGCCUGAAGGUGCAAUGUGAUGCACUUGUGACUUUUUAUUUUUAGGUAUUCUUGAUUUCUGCUUAGCGAGCUCGCGAGAAUACAUGCCUCUGACUCUUUGCGAUGAAGCUCAAUGUUUGCCAAGUGCAAAUAACGAUUCGUGCGAAUAACGUGUUUGCAUGUUUUUUUCCCGCAAAUCGAAUCGAUAUCACGCGAUUUUUGAUACUUGAGCUAAUUUUUAUUCAUUGAAAUUCGAAAAAACCGUACAGGGCACAGCAGAGUAAAUAUUUUAUUCGUACACCUACGGAUUUGUGCGAAAAGAGCAGAGACGGAGGAACUGCAGUAUUAGUUAUAUGUUUCGCGGUGAGACGUUGACUAAUUCAAUUCAUUGAGAUUCAAAAGCCGUUCGUUGUUUGUCGUGCAUGAUACGAAACGAUGAAGAUUCAAGGGACUAGUUGAACUUAUGCAGUUGAUUAAGCUAUAUACCGGAGUGUGUGUGUUUUUUUUUUUUUUCUUUUAUUCGUUUAUUUUUGUCUUCCUGCUCGGAUAACUUGUUAUUCAUGCGACAGUGACUCAAAUUGGAAUGCGCGAACUGCGAUGCAGAUGAAAUAUAGGUAUAAUUCGCGGAAACAUACAGUCCUAUACUGCAUAGUAGGUGGUAUUUCGCUAGAACUAAAAAGAUUUUCCCUCGAUUCUUAUACGAGACAACUAUAUUUUCAUCCUCGAUUUUUCAUACCCGCCCAUCGUCUCGAUCCUUGAGAACAACUUCUACCCGUUUUCGAUGAGCAAUACGAAACAGGUGAGAUGCUGCAAUUCUGCGAUACGUGUGAAAUUCUAUCGAUACUCCCAAGGAAUUCCAUAACUCGAGUUUCCUCAUUAUCUUGCUAAGAAUCUUUGGAGGGAAUUCUUCAGUCGAGAGUACAAGACGUGUACACCGUUUGUCAUUUCAGCCAGAGGUGAAAACCAUCCACAUAUACGACACAGGCUGCAAUUACGUGAGAUACGGUUGAAACUCUUGGCGAUAUUCGGCUCUGCAAACGAAACCGGAAAUCGAAUGUGUGCAGUAAUCUGCUGCACUUACGCACGAGUUAUACCGAAGUUUUAUUUGCAUUCGGUUUAAUCGUUGAGGGCUUGCCAGGUUCGGAGGAUGGGGUCCGAUGUCAUUGACCUCGAGGUCAUCGAAGAUCGAAAACCCGAAAUGUUGCGAUUCCAGAGUAGGGAUAGGUGGAUCCACUCCGCAAUGAAAUGUGCAAGAAAACGAGAUAAGAGCUGAGAGGAUAAUUGAAAUCUGAAGAUCAGAUCAUGGUUUGUGGUAAAUGACGACAUACGUAACUGUCGAGAAAAGGAGAAGGAAAUAUAAAAAUCAGAUUGUUUAUUUGUUGUCAAACAGCUGUAUAGAGUAACAUGAAAUUAUGUCUGCUCCUGAUAAAUUUUAUAUAUAUAUAUAUACUUUGCCGAAACUGUAACUGCAUCAUUUUUUUUUUUUUUUCAAUUUUUUUUUGCCUAUAAUAUAUCAAUUUUCAUUUUCUAAUAUAUUUGUGUGUGUAUGUAUAUAUAUAUAUAGGUAAUGUAUAUUUCAUGUAAAACGACCGCUGACGAAACAUACUGAUGUGCUUGUAUACAUAGGUAUAAUCUACCCAACGAAAAAAUAUAAUAAUAGUGUAUAAUAUAGAGCUAUGCAAUAAUCAACAGAUUAGUAGAAUAUAAGAGUAUUUUAUGUAGAAACAACAGAAUAAUUGAGCGUCUACGUUGACCGUUUUUUUUGGAUUUCUUUGCUUUUUAUUUUUUUGUAAAUCCUCCGUCAAAUGUUGGCAUGGUUGGUUACCGCUUUUCAAGCAACUUUUAAUAUUAUUCCAUCAAUUACGAAUAUUAGCGAAUAGUUUCUUUGAUUAUGUGUAUUACAUGUCGACGUUGCAAAGGCAAUUCCACCGCAGAAUCUCAUGAGACAAAUCGGCAAAAUCGCGUUUCCACGAAUAAAACAAAUUCGUUAUUCUUAUUUCACGUUAUUUGUAACAUGUACUCGUUCGUCCGACGUGUAUAUAUUACAAAUAUUAUACGAAUAAAAGUGUUUGUGUUACAUAAAUAGUUUAUUACGCGUAUCCUAUGCCUCUCAUACAAUAUCUAGGUAUAAAGUAUAUUGCAGUUUCGAACGAAGAGAACCGCCAUAUUUCACUACUUGCAACGAUUUAGAGAGGUAUAUGUCUAGUUGCACGGACACAUCCGCUAUUAUAAUCAGUAGUUUCUGUUGCCGUACAUGAAAUCAAGAGGAAAACAUAUUUUGCAAUCCUAUUACGCGACACAUUUACAAAUGAUAUUACAUGCUGAUAUCCUCUUAUUCAUUUAGAUAAUUGUAUUCGAUUGACGUUAAUACCUAUCAAAUAUUCCGUUAUGAUUAUUGCUAUUUACAAUUAGAUUAUAUAUAUAUUCACCUAACAACGUAUUCUUCACCAUAUUUUACAGAAACCAUUAAACUUUGAUACAAUUUAUAACUUAUACAAUUUCUUUCCUUAUUUUUAUUUUUAAUUUUUUUUGUUUUUU